GGGCCUGUGGUCUAAUUGGUAUGACGUCUCCCUUGCGAGGAGAAGACUUUGGGUUCGACUCCCAACUGGUCCA
RNAcentral lists this transfer RNA (73 nucleotides) under Methanobrevibacter ruminantium M1. Its description in RNAcentral is "tRNA-Ala (TGC) (tRNA-Ala-TGC-2-1)". It matches the Rfam family "tRNA". Rfam says of the family: Transfer RNA (tRNA) molecules are approximately 80 nucleotides in length. Their secondary structure includes four short double-helical elements and three loops (D, anti-codon, and T loops). Lineage: Archaea; Methanobacteriati; Methanobacteriota; Methanobacteria; Methanobacteriales; Methanobacteriaceae. The record is from Rfam by way of RNAcentral.